UAGAUACAAUUCUUAUAUUCAGAUAUAUGAAAAUUCAUGUAGUCGAAAAUUCCGACGAUGCUAGUUAAGUAAUGCGCGAGAGCGCAAUUAUAUCUGUACGGAGCAGUAAAUGCGUCCAGCGAGCCUUUGAAUGCUUUUGAGUCAGUUGAUUACAUCCUCGAUGUUGUUGGUUUAAUCCAUCUCCGUUUCAUUUGCAUCUUCAGCCGGUGGCUACUCACAAAGCGUACGUGAUCGCGAUAAAAGUUAGUGCCAUUAGUGCGACGCCGACGUUAACACGUCUCAGAAGACAUCUGAUAAUAUCCGAUACGUGUCGUAUUCGCCUUAUUAAUGCAACGCGAAUACGGUAGCCACGCUUAUCUGACACGAAGCGCUCACAGACAAAAAUCUCUCGCUGGGGACAUCCCACAUUUUUUUCCGCUUACUUAAGAUUCCCUCGUCUAACGCGAACUCAAUCUUACGACAGUCACCGCCAACAUCGAUCUCGGCACAUAAGACUUCGCUCACGACCGAUCCCCCGCGCACCAUCCACAUUAAUCGCGCGCGUCGCACGGUCGCUGGCAUAUAUUAUGAGGAAAAAGUUUGCGCAGUGCAGUUUUCUUCGACAAUCGCCGGUCUGUCGUUCGAGAUAGUUACGAAAGUGCUAUUUACGUAUGCGUGUUUGCGAUUUUAACUUACAAUAAUGGCGGAUAAAAACAAUAGCGAAUACCCAAUCCAAUUGACAGAAUCUAAUCCAGGGUUUUCACGUAACGAGUCUACUAAAAGUUUCGUAAGUUCUGGGAAUGAAAAACCGGAAUGUACUACUCAACGUAUACUUAUCUCUGCAAUGGAUACGGUUAACCAUAUACUGAUUGUAUUGGUGACAAUAUAUCUUGUGUAUCACGCAGCGAAGGAAUAUUCCGUAACAAAUAUACACGUAAUCCUCUGCACUAUCGGUUGUAUGUACACUCGACAAAAUGGUCAUUUUUACU
Molecule: long non-coding RNA, 968 nt
Organism: Wasmannia auropunctata (little fire ant)
Lineage: Eukaryota; Metazoa; Arthropoda; Insecta; Hymenoptera; Formicidae
Exons: 3
Source: RefSeq, a predicted model, not a curated record